RNAcentral lists this ribosomal RNA (456 nucleotides) under uncultured bacterium. Its description in RNAcentral is "bacterial SSU rRNA". It matches the Rfam family "Bacterial small subunit ribosomal RNA", at positions 340 to 786 of the family's 1533-position model. The record is from RNAcentral.
UACGGAAGGCAGCAGUGGGGAAUAUUGCACAAUGGGCGAAAGCCUGAUGCAGCUAUGCCGCGUGUAUGAAGAAGGCCUUAGGGUUGUAAAGUACUUUCAUCGGGGAGGAAAAAACAAAACUAAUAAUUUUAUUUCUUGACGUUACCCGAAAAAGAAGCACCGGCUAACUCCGUGCCAGCAGCCGCGGUAAUACGGAGGGUGCUAGCGUUAAUCAGAAUUACUGGGCGUAAAGAGCACGUAGGUGGUUUUUUUAAGUCAGAUGUGAAAUCCCUGGGCUUAACCUAGGAACUGCAUUUUGAAACUGAAAUACUAGAGUAUCGUAGAGGGAGGUAGAAUUCUAGGUGUAGCGGUGAAAUGCGUAGAUAUCUGGAGGAAUACCUGUGGCGAAAGCGGCCUCCUAAACGAAUACUGACACUGAGGUGCGAAAGCGUGGGAAGCAAACAGGGAUUAGAUACC